CACGUAGUUAGCCGGGGCUUCUUAGUCAGGUACCGUCAUUUUCUUCCCUGCCGAUAGAGCUUUACGUACCGAAAUACUUCUUCACUCACGCGGCGUCGCUGCAUCAGGGUUUCCCCCAUUGUGCAAUAUUCCCCACUGCUGCCUCCCGUAGGAGUUUGGGCCGUGUCUCAGUCCCAAUGUGGCCGUUCACCCUCUCAGGCCGGCUACUGAUCGUCGCCUUGGUGGGCCUUUACCCCGCCAACCAGCUAAUCAGACGCGGAUCCAUCGUAUACCACCGGAGUUUUUCACACUGCUUCAUGCGAAGCUGUGCGCUUAUGCGGUAUUAGCACCUAUUUCUAAGUGUUACUCCCCCAGUAUACGGCAGGUUCUCCACGCGUUACUCCACCCGUCCGCCACUAACUCAUAUAUCACUAGGUUUCAAUAUGAGUCCGUUCGACUUGCAUGUGUUAAGCACGCCGCCAGCGUUCAUCCCGAGCCAGGACUCAAACUCU
RNAcentral lists this ribosomal RNA (491 nucleotides) under uncultured Lachnospiraceae bacterium. Its description in RNAcentral is "partial 16S ribosomal RNA". The record is from RNAcentral. Lineage: Bacteria; Bacillati; Bacillota; Clostridia; Lachnospirales; Lachnospiraceae.